Molecule: ribosomal RNA, 504 nt
Filed under: Bombus mixtus
Lineage: Eukaryota; Metazoa; Arthropoda; Insecta; Hymenoptera; Apidae
Description: partial 16S ribosomal RNA
Rfam family: Bacterial large subunit ribosomal RNA (bases 381-504)
Source: RNAcentral
GGCUUGAUGAUUUAUAAUUUUAAGUCGAUCUGCCCAAUGAUAAAGUAUUUAAUGGCUGCAGUAUAUCUGACUGUACAAAGGUAGCAUAAUCGAUUGUUUUUUAAUUGAAAACUGGUAUGAAAGAAUUAAUGAGAUAUAUUCUGUCUCAUAUAUAUUUUAUAAAAUUAAAUUUUUAGUAAAAAUGCUUAAAUAUUUUUAUGGGACGAUAAGACCCUAUAGAAUUUUAUAUUAAUUUUUAGAUYGUAUAAAUGGUUAUUGUAUUAAUUAAUAUUUAGUUGGGAGGAUUGGUAAAUUUAAUGAACUUUAUUUUGUAUUUUAACUUUAAUUUGAGGAUUAUUAAUGUUCUUGUAUUAUAAAUUAUAAGAUUAAAUUACCUUAGGGAUAACAGCGUAAUAUCUUUGGAGAGUUCAUAUUAAUAAAGAUGAUUGCGACCUCGAUGUUGAAUUAAGAUAAAUUUUAAAUGCAGAAGUUUAAUAAUUAAGUCUGUUCGACUUUUAAAAUCUU